This 253-nucleotide ribosomal RNA is filed under the name uncultured bacterium. Its description in RNAcentral is "partial 16S ribosomal RNA". It matches the Rfam family "Bacterial small subunit ribosomal RNA", at positions 524 to 776 of the family's 1533-position model. The record is from RNAcentral.
UACAGGGGGUGCAAACGUUGCUCGGAAUCAUUGGGCGUAAAGCGCACGUAGGCGGUUCGUUAUGUCGGAUGUGAAAGCCCUUGGCUUAACCGAGGAAGUGCAUCCGAAACUGGCGAGCUAGAGUACUAAAGAGGAUCGCGGAAUUCCCGGUGUAGAGGUAAAAUUCGUAGAUAUUCGGAAGAACACCAGUGGCGAAGGCGGCUCACUGGACCGUUGUUGACGCUGAGGUGCGAAAGCGUGGGGAGCAAACAGG